CCCUAUCUGCCGUGGGCGCUGGAGAAUUGAGGGGGGGCUGCUCCUAGUACGAGAGGACCGGAGUGGACGCAUCACUGGUGUUCGGGUUGUCAUGCCAAUGGCACUGCCCGGUAGCUAAAUGCGGAAGAGAUAAGUGCUGAAAGCAUCUAAGCACGAAACUUGCCCCGAGAUGAGUUCUCCCUGAGACUUUAAGUCUCCUGAAGGAACGUUAAAGACGAUGACGUUGAUAGGCCGGGUGUGUAAGCGCAGCGAUGCGUUGAGCUAACCGGUACUAAUGAACCGUGAGGCUUAACCUUACAACGCCGAAG
RNAcentral lists this ribosomal RNA (308 nucleotides) under Klebsiella pneumoniae. RNAcentral's name for it is "partial 23S ribosomal RNA". It matches the Rfam family "Bacterial large subunit ribosomal RNA", at positions 2636 to 2925 of the family's 2925-position model. The record is from RNAcentral. Lineage: Bacteria; Pseudomonadati; Pseudomonadota; Gammaproteobacteria; Enterobacterales; Enterobacteriaceae.